GCAGUGGUGGUUCAGUGGUAGAGUUCUCGUCUUCCACGCGGGAGACUCAGGUUCAAUUCCCGGACAGUGUG
RNAcentral lists this transfer RNA (71 nucleotides) under Loxodonta africana (African savanna elephant). It matches the Rfam family "tRNA". Rfam says of the family: Transfer RNA (tRNA) molecules are approximately 80 nucleotides in length. The record is from Rfam by way of RNAcentral. Lineage: Eukaryota; Metazoa; Chordata; Mammalia; Proboscidea; Elephantidae.